RNAcentral lists this ribosomal RNA (442 nucleotides) under uncultured Anaerolineaceae bacterium. RNAcentral's name for it is "bacterial SSU rRNA". It matches the Rfam family "Bacterial small subunit ribosomal RNA", at positions 924 to 1382 of the family's 1533-position model. Lineage: Bacteria; Bacillati; Chloroflexota; Anaerolineae; Anaerolineales; Anaerolineaceae. The record is from RNAcentral.
CACAAGCAGCGGAGCGUGUGGUUUAAUUCGUUGCUACACGAAGAACCUUACCUGGUUUGACAUAUAGGUUGUAGGGAACUGAAAGGGACGACCCUUCGGGGAGCCUAUACAGGUGUUGCAUGGCUGUCGUCAGCUCGUGUCGUGAGAUGUUCGGUUAAGUCCGCUAACGAGCGCAACCCUCGUCGUAUGUUAUAUGUGUCAUACGAGACUGCCGGUAAAAAGCCGGAGGAAGGUGAGGAUGAUGUCAAGUCAGCAUGACCUUUAUAUCCAGGGCUACACACACGCUACAAUGGUCUGUACAAUGGGUAGCCAAGCCGCGAGGCGGAGCCAAUCCUGAAAGCAGGCCUCAGUUCAGAUUGCAGUCUGCAACUCGACUGCAUGAAGCCGGAGUUGCUAGUAACCGCAGGUCAGCAAUACUGCGGUGAAUACGUUCCCGGGUCUU